GGAAAGAUAGAGGAAAAACUGUCAUUUCUUUCCCUUCCUCCCUCCUAUUUACCUUUUUCUGGUUGACCGUAAUUUCCAAAGGAAACAAACCUUGGCUAUUUAAGGGAGGUGGGGGCGGGGGUGAGAAGGCAGAACCGGGCUCCUACAGGGGACAGCCGUGGCCAUCCUCCUGUCUCUGCUGGCCGAGCUGGCCUGGAUCUCUGUGCAGAAUCUUAGGUCCGUUGCCUCCAGGUUGCGGGGAGCCAGAGCAGGCACAGGAAGGACAAGACAGAGCAGGAGCAGGAGAGGGAAGGAGAAAGCACGUCCAUUUGGGCGAACGCCGGGCCGGCGGGCUGACGGGGCAGAUCGAACGCUGGAGUCGAUGCAAAGCACUUUCCUUUUGAUCUGCUCAUGAAACUCUCACCGCAACGCUCUGGAGUGGGUAGCACUAUUGUUCCUGCCUCACAGAUGAAGCAACUGAGAGCUGGCCCAACAAGCAACUUCCCCAAAGUCUCCCAGGGAGGAUGCAGCUGACCCAGAAUCUGACAUCAUCCUGAUAGCACAGCUGGUGCCUGGACCAGUGUGCACUGAAGGGUGGAUCAUGUCCUAGGUGGAAAAGGGGACAGCAGUGACUUGAGCCCCCAGGGCUCUCCAGCCACAGGGGGAGGUAGAAAAACACAUGUGAGGAGGAAAACCUAGAUGCAAGUCCUGGCUCAGCCACUUGCUGUGUGGCUUCUGAAAGAUCACUUUGCCUCUCUGAGCCUCCUUUUCUUCAUCUAAAAAGAAAGGACUGUGCUGAGCAUUGGCUGUGGCAACAAAAGUGACGCAUUUUGUAAAAGGUAACACGCCACGUGAAUUAAGACGGAACAAUCUCUCCCGUCCACCACCUCCUUCUGUCCCGGAACUUGCUGGUCGCUCAAGAUCUGGGGUCAUUGCAUUCCAUUACAGAGGUGGGGCCCACGUAUUUUAAACUGCAUUUUCAGGCCGGCCCAGUUGCUCAGUGGUUGAGUCUGCACGUUCUGCUUUGCUGGCCCGGGGUUCACCAGUUCGGAUCCCGGGUGCGGACAUGGCACCGCUUGGCAAGCCAUGCUGUGGUGGGCGUCCCACAUAUAAAGUACAGGAAGAUGGGCAUAGAGGUUAGUUCAGGGCCAGUCUUCCUGAGCAAAAAGAGGAGGAUUGGCAGAGAUGUUCGCUCAGGGAUAAUCUUCCUCAAAAAAAGUAAAUAAAAUAAACUUAAAACAAACUGUAUUUUCUUCUUCAAUAGGUAAUCUAUUCACACAGUUCAAAAAUUUAAAAUUAUAAAAAGGUACAUCAUGAAAACGCUCCCGUAUAGUGGAUGAAAUCAGUCUGGGGGGUCUCCAUCCAGAUGAUAUCCCUUAGCACACCAUCCAGACGAGCAUACAGGCUGUUUCUCUUUUGCCUUUUUUUUUUAAAAUUUUUUUCCUUUUUCUCCCCAAAGCCCCCCGGUACAUAGUUGUAUAUUCUUCAUUGUGGGUCCUUCUAGUUGUGGCAUGUGGGACGCUGCCCCCGCGUGGUUGGAUGAGCAGUGCCAUGUCCACGCCCAGGAUUCGAACCAACGAAACACUGGGCUGCCUGCAGCGGAGCGCGCGAACUUAACCACUCGGCCACGGGGCCAGCCCCAUCUCUUUUGCCUUUUUGACCAGAUGGUGCAUGCCAGUCCAUUUCUUCAUUGAGAAUUGAAGCCUGCCGGCCCCACAGCCUGCUCCUCUCCUGCUUUGCUGUGCUUUUGUUUUUGCACUUUGCGUUAGCCCUGGGACACGCUUCAUAUCUGUUCACCAGCUCUUAAUGCUUUGUUCUGGCCACUGUAUUC
Equus asinus (donkey) is the source of this 1810-nucleotide long non-coding RNA. NCBI's taxonomy places the organism in Eukaryota, Metazoa, Chordata, Mammalia, Perissodactyla, Equidae. The record is from Ensembl.